This 741-nucleotide long non-coding RNA is filed under the name Pan troglodytes (chimpanzee). Its description in RNAcentral is "lncRNA (ENSPTRG00000053365.1)". The record is from RNAcentral. Lineage: Eukaryota; Metazoa; Chordata; Mammalia; Primates; Hominidae.
UUUUUAAGAGAAAAUACUUUUGUCUUUUUUACCAUGAUAGUUUAGUGUGUGAUGUCAUAAAAAUGGGCUGUAGCCAUUUAAAUUCUUGUUCAAGUGCAGAAACUAAGAGACUUCAGUUUCUAUUAAGCCAUGUCAACUCCUAUUAGGAGACCUUCAGUGGUUCCAGUUCCAGGGCCUUCUUGAAGAAAUUGUGAUUCUUGUGUAAGUAUAUCUAGAGUUUUCUUUCCAGCAUUGGCUAAGUCACAUAGCUGAGAAAUAUGAUACAUGGAGAAGGUUGCUGACUGGAUGAACUUUUCUACAUUGAAUAUUUUAAAUCUGGAUUCUAGAAUAAAAUAUAUUGAUGCAUAUUUGAGUUGUCAACUGUUUAUGUCUUGUUCUUUUCAGCUUCAACAUUGCUUUAUGGCAUGUGUGGUCGUUUUUCACUCCAUUGUUGUUGUUUACCCAGUUUAUGGGGGUUGUAAUGUUUAUCACACUCCUUGGAUGAUUUCCGAAGAUCACCCCAUCCUGAGAUCUGCUGCCUUACACAGCGGAGGCUGUUUUCUGAGUGUCGGAUAACUCUGUUAUUAAAUAAGUGCAUAUUGAGAAUACUCACUCCAGAUGCUUAGAGGCAUGUUGAGAAGGACAAAGAUAGUGCCUCCUGUCAGGUCACUUACUUCAGAACUUGCAGGAAACCUGCUUUAUACAGCAGUUGACAGGUGUGGAAAUUGAAGCUCAUGGAAAUGAAAGUUAAUACACUAAAUU